RNAcentral lists this unclassified non-coding RNA (520 nucleotides) under uncultured Glomus. RNAcentral describes it as "SSU rRNA". It matches the Rfam family "Eukaryotic small subunit ribosomal RNA", at positions 569 to 1093 of the family's 1831-position model. Lineage: Eukaryota; Fungi; Glomeromycota; Glomeromycetes; Glomerales; Glomeraceae. The record is from RNAcentral.
AGCAGCCGCGGUAAUUCCAGCUCCAAUAGCGUAUAUUAAAGUUGUUGCAGUUAAAAAGCUCGUAGUUGAAUUUCGGGACCAAUAUGUCGGUCGUACUUUGUACGUACUAGCAUUAUUGGUUUCUCCCUUCUGAAGAACCACGAUGUCAUUAAUUUGGUGUCGUGGGGAAUCAGGACUGUUACUUUGAAAAAAUUAGAGUGUUUAAAGCAGGCUCGCGCUUGAAUACAUUAGCAUGGAAUAAUGAAAUAGGACGUUUGAUUCUAUUUUGUUGGUUUCUAGGAUCGACGUAAUGAUUAAUAGGGAUAGUUGGGGGCAUUAGUAUUCAAUUGUCAGAGGUGAAAUUCUUGGAUUUAUUGAAGACUAACUACUGCGAAAGCAUUUGCCAAGGAUGUUUUCAUUAAUCAAGAACGAAAGUUAGGGGAUCGAAGACGAUCAGAUACCGUCGUAGUCUUAACCAUAAACUAUGCCGACUAGGGAUCGGAUGAUGUUAAUUUUUAAUGACUCAUUCGGCGCCUUACGG